Long non-coding RNA from Brassica napus (rape), 3839 nucleotides. RefSeq lists it as uncharacterized. The transcript has 2 exons. The record is from RefSeq and is a predicted model, not a curated record. NCBI's taxonomy places the organism in Eukaryota, Viridiplantae, Streptophyta, Magnoliopsida, Brassicales, Brassicaceae.
AUUUCAGAGAACCUGGCGGCAUGGAUUAUAUGGAGUAUUUGGUUGGCUAGGAACCAACUGAUCUUUCGAGAGGAAAAGUUAGCAACCCAAGAGAUUGUGACAAAGGCGGCCCGACUUGCGAGGGAAUGGACACAGGCGCAGGCUGCGGUUGAGCAACCAAAGGCGCUGAAGGAGAUAAGUGGAAUUGGAUCAAGAUGUGAUAUGGUUUGCAGGUCUGAUGCAGCUUGGAACAGUGAGAAACGUUGCACUGGGGUGGCGUGGGAAUUUCUACGUAACGGGAAUGAGCGUGUAAGCUCAGGAUCCCUUACUUUUACAAAUGUUAAAUCACCCCUUGUGGCGGAGGGGUUGGCUUUAUUAUCAGCAAUGGAAGACGCAGUAUCAUGGGAUUUCAGACAAAUCUCAUUCGAGUCAGAUUCAAGCAGGUUGAUGAAGGCAGUUAAAGAAGGCUCAAAUGUUUUAGAUUUGCACGGAAUCCUCUGUGAUAUUUAUGCUUUAUCUAUGGCUUUUGAUGUUGUUUCUUUUUAUUGGGUCAGUAGAAACUCUGUUUCUCAUGUGGAUGGAAUAGCCAAAUAUGUGCUAAAAAACCUUGUAUUGAACCUAGUUUAAUUUCUAAUGUAAGGUAGUUGUGAACAAAAAAAAAAAAGUACCAGGAAAAAUAAGUACCUAUUUGUGGAAACUGCAAUACUUUAGAGAAAGUUUACAAUAUUGAGUUGGUCAGGUACUUAAUUAUGAUGAAAAUAAUAUUAAAUAAUACUUAAUUACAAUCUGUCUUUAAUCAAAUCAGAAUUUAUAUAAACAUUGCUAUUUAAGGUUCAACUUCAACCAUGACACUACAUUGGAUGUUGAAAUAAUAUUAAAUUUAUUAGUUUAGUAAUAUACUUUAAAUGUCAUCUCCAAUCAAAACAUUAAAUUUUGUGUUAUAGUGUUGUACAUUAAUUUUAUAUAAAUAUUUUUUGUUUUAACUAUUUUAUAUACUUAUUUAUUUAUUUACCUAUUUUAGUUUUACUAAUCUAUACAUGCAUUAUUAAUUAAAAAAUUUAUAUGUAUUUUAAUUACAAAUUUAAUUGAAUGAAUAAAUUAAGUUAAUUCCAAUAUUAAAUAAAAUAAACUAAAUAAUUUAUUAAAAUUGCAUCUGAUGAUUAAUGUUACACCAAAAUUUUAUACUACUUUCCACAAAAAAUCAACUUUAGUGUAACUGUCUAAUUUUUUGAAACCUAUAAGAGAUGAAGAUAUACCAAGCUCAGUUGGAAUUUAGUUUCAAUUGAACUGUCGGUUUUUAUUAUACUUAUUAUUAUACUUCUUUAUUUUAUUGUUUACCCUAUAUUUCAGUUUGUAUAACAUAAUCUAAUUUAAAGAUCACUUUCAAAAUACUCUCAAAUUGAAAAUUGUCAUAAAUAAUUAUACCCUACUAUGUAUAAAUAUUUGAAAUAUUAUAAAAUCCCAAAAAAACAUAGAACUAUUAAGACGAUGACAAAAAAAAAAAUUAGAACUAUUAAGAAAGUAUUAAUCACAAAUCUAAUAUAGUGUUUUAAGAUAACAUAUUUAUCAGAUUGUUAGAGAUAAAUAAAUAUUUUUCAGAAGUACAAGAUAUGACUUAUAUUCAAUUUUCAACAAAAUAGGUUUGGGACAAAAAUAACAUAUAUGGAGAAAUGGAAGUUUUUUUUCAUCUUGAAGAAUUUAUAAUGUUUUAAAAUUCAAGUGGAUUAUUUCCACAAUGGUUUUAAGUAACAAUUGUAAUUAUCUAGAUGAAUAUUUGCAAUUAUUUAAAUGUAAUAUUGUAAUUGUUUAUAUAAAUAUUCACAAAUUUUAGAUGCUCAAUUAUAAUAUUUGAUGAUUAACCAUUCUAAUCCGGCUGAUUAUUGCUAACUAAAAUUUAACUAUUUAAAUUAUAACAUUAUUUUUCUGCGAUUAACAUUGUUGCUUUAAGUGAAAAUUUAUAGUCUCUCAAAUGCCCUGUCUCAUAUAUAGCUUUGAAUAACAUGUGUUGCUUUCUUUACCCUCAGCUCCUCGACAAUGAGGCUGAAGACAAUGUCCUAAUUUCAUUUUUGAGUGAAAUUUUUGUUUGUCGAGAAUUUAUUUUUACUAUAAAAAUAAUUCAUUUAACUUUGUUUCUAAUUUGGUUGAUAUAACAAUCAGUGAAAGAAAUAAAUAUUGUCACUAAUAAAGUAUUCCACAAAUAUUUUCAGUAAAUUAAUAUAUGAUAUAUGCAAUUAUAUAUCUUUUUCAUUUAGAAUAUUUUUUAUUGAAAUGGUUUGUGGUUAUUUCUCGUUUUACUUAUAUUAUACAAUUUUAAAAUUCAUGAAAAAAUUAAAGAUCUGUAUUUUCUCCUUAUUUUAUUAUACAUUCAUAGCAAAAUAAGAUGCUUUCUACAAAAGUAUAGAUUGUACAAAGUGGCAUAUGUUUUUAAUAAAAUUAGUUCACUAUAAUAACUUAAAAAUACAUAGAUACUUUAAUGUGUGUGCCUUUACUAAUUGGUAUUGACAUAUUUUUAAUUUUAUUACAACUAACUAAAAAAAAAUAUAACUGCAUGUAAGAUUUUUGUAACACAUAUAUUUCUUCAAAACAAUUAUAUAAAAUGUGGCAUAUUCUUUUUUUACAAAAUGAAUUCCGUGCGAUAUUGCACGAGUUCCUUACCUAGUAUUAUUAAUGAUAUUAUCUUUUAAAAAAGUAAGUUUCUUAAUUCUUGUGCAUUCAUGUAAAAGAUCUUAUAUUAUGGAAUGGAUGGAAUAUAUAUUUUUAAGGUUUUACCAUAUUCUGCAGCAAGUGUACUCUGAAAUACUAGCUUCUAUCAAUAAAGUACUUUUUUUGUUACGUGUAGUCCCAGAACAGCAUUAAAUUUCUAUGUCUUUUCUUUAAUGUUUAUCAAUAUGUUAAUUUAUUUCUUCUCAUAUCCGUCGCAAUAAUCAAAGUGCUUUGACGAUUCAAAGAUAUGCUUAUUUGUAGUGUUUACAAUCUGAGGGCUUAUAAAACAUCCAAUUCCGGAAAUUUUGUUUGCGGACAUUCAAUUCAUAGAAGUGUUCAUCUUUCCACCCAGAAUCUCAGAACAAAUUUCAACAUAAUUGUUUGUAAACCAUUUUUUUGUUUUAAUAUAUCCCUACUUUGAAGAGGUUUCAACACUGCUUGUCGUAUGUCUGAUUAAUUUAUGCCUCUUUAAUUUUGUUAAUCGUCCUCCUUUUUAAGUAUACGUAUUUGUUUCUGCCGUUUUUAUUUUCAGGGCUUGUUGCUAUUUGAAUGUCUUUGUGAUCAGAUCUCUAUUUGAAUGGUUAGCAGUGUGUGGAAGGAGAUUGAGUGAAUUGCGUCUUAUUAUUGGCCGACGACCCUUAACUUUCUUUUUCUCUCUUUCCUUUCUGAUUUAGUAAAAUAAUUCUGAAGUGCAACACUUGUCUGUGCAUGAGUUUAAGUGGGGAAGCUUGUACUUGAAGAACAUGUGGAAAGUGAGCCAAGUUUCGAUGAUAAUUCAGUUUUUACAAGGUUUCACAAUCAUUGCGUUGCAAUACAGAUAUUUACAAGGUUUCAAAUAAAUAAAUAAAUUGUGACGCCAACCUACUUGCUGUGCAACUAUAUCAUCAUUAUAACAACAACAUGAAAGAGAAUGAACGUGACAGAAUCUCAAGAACCAGAGCAAAAAGAAAAUGAAGGCUUGUUGUACUUAUGUAUUUAAUGCAUAUAUCUGCUUUUGGGAUUUGAGUGUUUAGAAGAUGGAUUUAAUUAUCUUGCCAUUUGUCCCUCUACAAGAUAAGACUACCAAAAAGAUGUGUUCGUAAAUAUAUUUGUGUUGUUACUUUUAAAUGUAAUUUUGUAAUUGUUUAUAUAAAUAUUUACAAAUUUUAGAUGCUCAA